Alexandromys fortis (reed vole) is the source of this 2919-nucleotide long non-coding RNA. RefSeq lists it as uncharacterized. The record is from RefSeq and is a predicted model, not a curated record. Lineage: Eukaryota; Metazoa; Chordata; Mammalia; Rodentia; Cricetidae. The transcript is spliced from 4 exons.
CUGCCAAGGGCUGGCGCGCUGGCCGCGCUGCGCUCCGGGAGCAGGCUGAGCCGAGCUAGGAGUGAUCAAUACAAGUGGAAAGUACGGCGGCGGCGGCGGCUGCGCUCGGUGCCAGGCGGCAUCUGGGGUUUGUGCUUUUAAUUGGUGACAUCCACCUUCAACGUGACCCUAAGGAUUUUGCUAAAAGGCUGUCUAGAGUUCCUAGUGGCAAGACGACUGUAUUGCAGGGCGCGGAGACAAUCCAAGUGUCACAAGCUUCAUCCAGCCGUGCGUUUACACUGUCAGCAGCGGGUGCGGUGCUAAUGAACCAGAGAUAUUACAUUUUUGGAGAAAUGAAGGGGAAGUCGACCGAUCUGCACAUGAGGCUAUGCUAAGCGGGGCUCAAGCACCAUCCCUAGUGAGCCAUAAAGCUAUGGAAAGUGGCUGGAUUUGUGCGUUCAGUGAUUAUUUCUCCUCACAGGACUCCAUUCCUGGACCAUGUUCUGGGGACACUGCAAGACAAGAAGUGCCGUUAACCCCUGAGCCAUCUCUCCAGCCCCUAUCCUGUGUUUAUCUUAAAAACAGGAACAAAAGAAAUCGAGGAUCCACUGAGAGCUGAAGGGAGCUUUUUAGAUUCUCCCUCCAUAUAAUGCCUGGCUGUGAGUCUCUGCAUCUGUUCCCACCUGCUGCUAGAGGAAGCCUCGCUGAUGAAGACUAGACAAAGCACUGAAAAACGAAUAUAGGAGAAUAUCAUUAGGAUUAAUUGUAUUGAUUUUCUAGACCAGUUGUGUUUGGUUUCACCCCAGGUCUUUGAGCUAUAUAGUCUCUCUCUGGUUCUUGGUUACCUAAGCAGUAACCAUUAAAUCAGACAUUGAUUGGCUACUCCCAAAAGUUAUAUUGCAGCACUGCCCUACCAUAUUUUGCAGGCAAGAAAGAUUGUAGGUCAAAGGGUUGUGGCUGAGUUGAUGUCCAUGUUUCUCUUUUGGUAACCUGAGGAGUAAAUUCCUGCAAAUAAAGGACUAGAACAUAGAGAACAUAUGGGUAAAGGCUUCAUGCAGAUAAACGUCUCCAUGUUCAGUGAGAUAUGUGAAUGUUGUCCUAGGCAACAGGAUCUUGAUGUCAGUUUGCAGAGAGCAACCAUUUGUCUUAGCAUCAGUCUGGGUUGUUUGGAGAUUAGCAUGGGACUUUUUAAACCAACAACUCAUUUGAGCACAACCCAGUUCAUCCCCUGGAAGUCUUGCACAUGCCAGAGCUGGGGGUACCUGCUGUGGAGAGCUGCUAACAGGGAGUGGAACCAGCUCAAGUGAAAGAAGUGUGUUACAGUCAAAAAACCAAAAAACUGAAAAGAGUUGGAGAUCUGAAGAACAUUUUGCCAUCAGACAUGGAGAUGCAGAGUUUGGAGUUUGCCCAGCUGGUUUUUGGUCUUGCUUUGGUUCAGUAUUUCUUCACUAUGUUCCCUUUUCUACAUUUUGGAAUGGUAAUAAGUAUGUGAUAUGUUUUUUGAUUUUGAUUUUAUAGGGGCUUACAGUUAGAUUGCAUGACUCACGGUAGAGUCUUUGAACUUUAGACUUUUAAAUAAAUUUGAGACUGUUAUAGACUGUGGAGACUUUUGAAGUUGGACUGAAAGCAUUUUUUGCAUUAUGAUAUGGCUACAAGCCUGUGGAGUCCUGGAAUGGAAUGUGGUGGUUUGGAAGAAAAUGGACCCCACAGGGAGAGACUUUAUUAUGAUGGUGCGACUUGGCUGGAGUAGGUAUAGCCUUGUUGGAACUAUGUCACUGUUGGGGAAGGGUUUUGAGGUAUCCUGUGCUCAAGCUAUGCCCAGUGUUGCUGCCUGUGGAUCAAGAUAGAGAACUCCUGGGUCUUUCUCCAGCACAUCUCUGCCUACAUGCUGCCAUUGUCACCUGCCAUGAAGACAAUAAACCUCUGAACUGUAAGCUAGCCCCAGUUAAAUGUUUUCUUUUAUAAGAACUUGUCACGGUCAUGGUGCCUCUUCACAGCAGUAGCAAUCUUAACUAAGACACACAUUCAGUGUGUCUGGUUUUAUAUUGAGGUCUUUGAUACACUUGGACUUGAGUUUUGAGCAGGGUGAUAAAUGUGGAAUUAGUUGCAUUCUCCUACACACAGACAUUCAGUUUGGCCAGCACCAUUUGUUGAAGACGCUGUCUGGGUUUUUUUUUUUUUUUUCCAGUAUAUAUAUAUUUCUGGCUCCUCUCUCCCACCCAAAUAAGGUGUCCAAAUGUGUGUUUGGAUUUAUGUCUGGGUCUUCAGUUUGAUUUCACUGAUCAAUGUGUCUGUUUUUAUGUCAAUAACACGUGGUUUUUAUUACUAUUGCUCUGUAGUACAGCCUGAAAUCAGGGAUGGUGAUACCUCUGGAAUUCCUUUUAUUGUACAGGAUUGUUUUAUUAUCCUUGGGUUUUUGUUUUUCCAUAUAAAGUUGAAAAUUAUCCUUUCAAAACCUGUAAAGAAAUCGUGUUGGGAUUUUGAUGGGGAUUGCAUUGAAUCUGCAGAUUGCUUUUGGUAGGAUGGCCAGUUUUACUUAUGUUAAUCUUACGGAUGCAUGAGCAAGGGAGAUCUUUCCAUUUUCUGAUGUCUUCUUCAAUUUAUUUCUCCAAAGACCUGAAGUUUUUAUUAUAAGUUCUUUAAUCUUGCUUUGUUAGAGUUACCCCAAGAUAUUUUAUAUUAUUUGAGGCUAUUGUAAAGGGUGUUGUUUCUCUGGUUUCCUUCUCAGUCCAUUGAUCAUUUGUAUAUAGGAGGCUACUGUUUUUUUUUAAUUAGUCUUGUAUUCAGCCAUUUUAAUGAAAGUGUUUAUCAAAUGUAGGAGUUCCCUGGUGGAACUUUUAGGGUCAGUUGUGUAUUACUAUAUCAUCUGCAAAUAGUGAUACUUUGACUUCUCCCCUUCUAAUUUGUAUCCCCUUGAUCUCCUUCACUUGUCUUAUCAUU